Molecule: ribosomal RNA, 467 nt
Filed under: uncultured bacterium
Lineage: Bacteria
Description: partial 16S ribosomal RNA
Rfam family: Bacterial small subunit ribosomal RNA
Source: RNAcentral
GACGAACGCUGGCGGCGUGCUUAACACAUGCAAGUCGAACGGAAAGGCCCUGCUUUUGUGGGGUGCUCGAGUGGCGAACGGGUGAGUAACACGUGAGUAACCUGCCCUUGACUUUGGGAUAACUUCAGGAAACUGGGGCUAAUACCGGAUAGGAGCUCCUGCUGCAUGGUGGGGGUUGGAAAGUUUCGGCGGUUGGGGAUGGACUCGCGGCUUAUCAGCUUGUUGGUGGGGUAGUGGCUUACCAAGGCUUUGACGGGUAGCCGGCCUGAGAGGGUGACCGGCCACAGUGGGACUGAGAUACGGCCCAGACUCCUACGGGAGGCAGCAGUGGGGAAUAUUGCACAAUGGGCGGAAGCCGGAUGCAGCAACGCCGCGUGCGGGAUGACGGCCUUCGGGUUGUAAACCGCUUUCGCCUGUGACGAAGCGUGAGUGAGGGUAAUGGGUAAGAAGCACCGGCUAACUACGUG